RNAcentral lists this ribosomal RNA (231 nucleotides) under uncultured bacterium. RNAcentral's name for it is "partial 16S ribosomal RNA". It matches the Rfam family "Bacterial small subunit ribosomal RNA", at positions 99 to 334 of the family's 1533-position model. The record is from RNAcentral.
CGGACGGGUGAGUAAUGUCUGGGAAACUGCCUGAUGGAGGGGGAUAACUACUGGAAACGGUAGCUAAUACCGCAUAACGUCGCAAGACCAAAGAGGGGGACCUUCGGGCCUCUUGCCAUCGGAUGUGCCCAGAUGGGAUUAGCUAGUAGGUGGGGUAACGGCUCACCUAGGCGCGAUCCCUAGCUGGUCUGAGAGGAUGACCAGCCACACUGGAACUGAGACACGGUCCAG